UACGUAGGGCGCAAGCGUUGUCCGGAAUUAUUGGGCGUAAAGAGCUCGUAGGCGGUUUGUCGCGUCUGCCGUGAAAGUCCGGGCUCAACUCCGGAUCUGCGGUGGGUACGGGCAGACUAGAGUGAUGUAGGGGAGACUGGAAUUCCUGGUGUAGCGGUGAAAUGCGCAGAUAUCAGGAGGAACACCGAUUGCGAAGGCAGCUCGCUGGGACGUAACUGACGCUGAGACGCGAAAGCGUGGGGAGCAAACAGG
RNAcentral lists this ribosomal RNA (252 nucleotides) under uncultured bacterium. RNAcentral describes it as "partial 16S ribosomal RNA". It matches the Rfam family "Bacterial small subunit ribosomal RNA", at positions 524 to 776 of the family's 1533-position model. The record is from RNAcentral.